GCUUUCAUCGUCCAAUGGAUCAGGACACUUCCCUCCGAAGGAAGAAAUGUGGGUUCGACUCCCGCUGAAAGCA
RNAcentral lists this transfer RNA (73 nucleotides) under Patescibacteria group bacterium. Its description in RNAcentral is "tRNA-Arg". It matches the Rfam family "tRNA". From Rfam's summary of the family: Transfer RNA (tRNA) molecules are approximately 80 nucleotides in length. Their secondary structure includes four short double-helical elements and three loops (D, anti-codon, and T loops). The record is from RNAcentral.